UCCUGCUCAUCGAAGUCUUACCUUGACUGGCAGUUCCGUGGUCACUCUAAUAUGGGGUCCAAAGUGGAUUUGGGCACUACAUGCGCGACCGUCGAUCCUUGAUUAGUGUGGCCGAUGCAAUAGGUGCGCGAAAUAUCAGUUUGUGCAUGGCCUACGCUUGCCGAAAUGUCCGCAUUUGCGUUCCGUGUUUUCGCAUUAUGGACAUUGGCUGCAUUCUCAUGUGGCAGCUGAAAUCUCCAAAUCAAAGCAAUGUAAACUUUCCUGCUGUAACGCACAAUUUUGUAGACAUGAUGACGAAACUCCUGGAAUAAGAUAUAAAGAAAAACCCAAAAAAGAAAUAAAAUCAAUGACAAAAGGAGCGGAAAUAGCAAACUAAAGGAAGUAAGCAGACGGUUAACACGGCCGCACUAGUGGGCCGGGUCAUGGCAAACAAAUUGUGAAUGUGGAUCAGGUUGGGUCCGCCUAUCAACAUCAGCAACGGCAUUCCUAGUGCCCCCCAGAAACAGAAGCAAUACAGCAGCGGAAGCUCCAUCUACAUCCAACGAUCUGUCGGCCCAACCACGCCCUCCGAGUCGGCGCAACGACGACACCAGCAGCUGUUAAGUCCCCCUAGUCUCUAAGUUUACGCACUGUCGCCGCCAAUAUCUGUUUUUUACAUGUAGAAAUUUAAAAAUGUUUUAUUUGAUAAAGUUAGAUCCAUAACAUGAUUUCUUGCCAUAGUCCGACCGAAUUUGCUUCACCAUAGUAUGACCAGAAUAACCGGCAAGCUUUUGGCAUACGUGCAGUUUGCUCUUCUGGACGGCUGGCUCUUCUUGUCGAUAUUGGAUCGUCUGUUUAGUUUGUCUGCUGUAUGAUUGUCUGAUGCCCACAAACCGUUCCAAAUUACCACGCACACACUUUUAAAUUUUUUUUCGUUUUUACAUUUUU
Molecule: small RNA, 927 nt
Filed under: Drosophila yakuba
Lineage: Eukaryota; Metazoa; Arthropoda; Insecta; Diptera; Drosophilidae
Description: GE27962
Source: RNAcentral